This 198-nucleotide ribosomal RNA is filed under the name uncultured bacterium. RNAcentral describes it as "partial 16S ribosomal RNA". It matches the Rfam family "Bacterial small subunit ribosomal RNA", at positions 1294 to 1500 of the family's 1533-position model. The record is from RNAcentral.
CGGAUCGCAGGCUGCAACCCGCCUGCGUGAAGCCGGAAUCGCUAGUAAUCGCGGAUCAGCAUGCCGCGGUGAAUACGUUCCCGGGCCUUGUACACACCGCCCGUCAAGCCAUGGGAGCCGGGGGCGCCUGAAGUCCGGGACCGCGAGGACCGGCCUAGGGCGAAACUGGUAACUGGGGCUAAGUCGUAACAAGGUACC